This is a regulatory RNA element of Anoxybacillus sp. B7M1, 150 nucleotides long. It matches the Rfam family "PyrR binding site". From Rfam's summary of the family: This family represents the PyrR binding site and terminator structure. This RNA structure is found upstream of a variety of genes involved in pyrimidine biosynthesis and transport. NCBI's taxonomy places the organism in Bacteria, Bacillati, Bacillota, Bacilli, Caryophanales, Anoxybacillaceae. The record is from Rfam.
CCGCCUUUUAAUUAAGUCCUGUGAGACUUAAAAGGGUGUUGCUGUUCGCGCAAAAAAGAAAUGAAAGUCAUCAUAUGGGCUUUCUUUCUGCCUACCUUUUUGCGCCCAAAACUGUAGCACCCUGUCGAGUAAGGCAGGGUGCUUUUUUUA